This 466-nucleotide ribosomal RNA is filed under the name Marinomonas sp. R-261. RNAcentral describes it as "bacterial SSU rRNA". It matches the Rfam family "Bacterial small subunit ribosomal RNA", at positions 213 to 671 of the family's 1533-position model. The record is from RNAcentral. Lineage: Bacteria; Pseudomonadati; Pseudomonadota; Gammaproteobacteria; Oceanospirillales; Oceanospirillaceae.
UUUCGCUAUUAGAUGAGCCUGCGUGAGAUUAGCUAGUUGGUGGGGUAAAGGCCUACCAAGGCGACGAUCUCUAGCUGGUCUGAGAGGAUGAUCAGCCACACUGGGACUGAGACACGGCCCAGACUCCUACGGGAGGCAGCAGUGGGGAAUAUUGGACAAUGGGCGCAAGCCUGAUCCAGCCAUGCCGCGUGUGUGAAGAAGGCCUUAGGGUUGUAAAGCACUUUCAGGAGUGAGGAAGGGCGUAUAGUUAAUACCUGUAUGUUUUGACGUUAACUCCAGAAGAAGCACCGGCUAACUCUGUGCCAGCAGCCGCGGUAAUACAGAGGGUGCGAGCGUUAAUCGGAAUUACUGGGCGUAAAGCGCGCGUAGGCGGUUUGUUAAGUCGGAUGUGAAAUCCCAGGGCUCAACCUUGGAAUGGCACCCGAUACUGGCAGGCUAGAGUACGGUAGAGGGGUGUGGAAUUUCC